Molecule: ribosomal RNA, 432 nt
Filed under: uncultured bacterium
Lineage: Bacteria
Description: partial 16S ribosomal RNA
Rfam family: Bacterial small subunit ribosomal RNA
Source: RNAcentral
ACGCACGCUGGCGGCAUGCCUAACACCUGCCAGUCGCACGAGACCUUCGGGUCUAGUGGCGCACGGGUGCGUAACGCGUGGGAACCUGCCCUUAGGUUCGGAAUAACUCCCCGCAAGGGGUGCUAAUACCGGAUAAUGUCUUCGGACCAAAGAUUUAUCGCCUUUGGAUGGGCCCGCGUUGGAUUAGCUAGUUGGUAGGGUAAAAGCCUACCAAGGCGACGAUCCAUAGCUGGUCUGAGAGGAUGAUCAGCCACACUGGGACUGAGACACGGCCCAGACUCCUACGGGAAGCAGCAGUGGGGAAUAUUGGACAAUGGGCGAAAGCCUGAUCCAGCAAUGCCGCGUGAGUGAUGAAGGCCUUAGGGUUGUAAAGCUCUUUUACCCGGGAUGAUAAUGACAGUACCGGGAGAAUAAGCUCCGGCUAACUCCGUG